RNAcentral lists this ribosomal RNA (433 nucleotides) under uncultured bacterium. RNAcentral's name for it is "partial 16S ribosomal RNA". It matches the Rfam family "Bacterial small subunit ribosomal RNA", at positions 29 to 507 of the family's 1533-position model. The record is from RNAcentral.
AGCGAACGCUGGCGGCAGGCUUAACACAUGCAAGUCGAGCGGGCCCUUCGGGGUCAGCGGCCGACGGGUGAGUAACGCGUGGGAACGUGCCCUUCGGUUCGGACUACCUCAGGGAAACUUGAGCUAAUACCGGAUACGCCCUUAUGGGGAAAGGCUUGCUGCCGAAGGAUCGGCCCGCGUCUGAUUAGCUAGUUGGUGAGGUUAUGGCUCACCAAGGCGACGAUCAGUAGCUGGUCUGAGAGGAUGAUCAGCCACACUGGGACUGAGACCCGGCCCAGACUCCUACGGGAGGCAGCAGUGGGGAAUAUUGGACAAUGGGGGCAACCCUGAUCCAGCCAUGCCGCGUGAGUGAUGACGGCCUUAGGGUUGUAAAGCUCUUUUCUCCGGGACGAUAAUGACGGUACCGGAGGAAUAAGCCCCGGCUAACUUCGUG